This 8362-nucleotide unclassified non-coding RNA is filed under the name Hevea brasiliensis (rubber tree). The record is from RNAcentral. Lineage: Eukaryota; Viridiplantae; Streptophyta; Magnoliopsida; Malpighiales; Euphorbiaceae.
GUUUAAAAAAAAAAGGGUCCUCACGCCUCUCGUUAUCUUUCCCUGUACAACGACAUAACGCAGGGCACAGAUAAAACCUAGUUUCAGAGCACAUCGAGCAGGAAGCUACAACUAUUUUCCAUCAUUAGCGCGCGACAUUGAUUUGCUGCUUUAAAAUCAUAAGAGCUUGCGAAACUUGGCAGUGAAGCAGGCUUGCUACAUAAACUGUGGGCAUGUCUACUGCACUGACACCUUCUAAGAGACCACAUGAUUGGAACGCUAGUGAGACAAAUGGGAAAGGAAAGUGGCAAAAGACAGCUGGCCUUAAUUCCCCCAAUCUAUCCUUGAAAUCCUUGAAUGGUGUAGUUUUCCGAAUACUCUGUCCUGCUUCCAAAACAGGUAGUAUUAUUGGGAGAGGUGGUACCAUCAUAUCACAAAUCCGUCAAGAAACUGGUGCAAAGGUCAGAGUUGAGGAAAUUGUCCCCGGAUGCGAUGAGAGGGUAGUUGUUAUUGUGGGUUCUGAUAAGGAUAUCGAAGUCAAUAAUGAGCAGAAUGGGGAGGAUGGUGAUAAAAAUGCUGAUGUGGUUGAAGAGGGUGAUGAUAAAAAAGACCAUGUUGAGGACAAUGAAAAUAAGGAACUUGUUCCUGCAGUUGACUCGUCAAAGUCUGUAAAGGAAAUAUCAUCCUUGCAGAAAGCCCUGGUACUUGUUUUUGAAAGAAUAGUUGAAGCAGAACCAGAAACGGUUGGAAGGGAUGAGGAAAAUAGCAAGCCCUCUAUGUUCAUUUUGAGGUUACUUGUACUUUCCAGUCAAGUUGGCUGCCUUUUGGGAAAGGGUGGUAGUGUAAUCAAGCAAAUGUCUGCAGAAAGUGGGGCACAGAUUCGGAUUCUUCCUAGGGAUAAACUUCCUGCAUGUGCAUCACCUUCUGAUGAGCUAGUUCAGAUCACAGGAGAGGUUGAUGCAGUUAGGAAAGCUCUUCAAUCAGUUGCUCAGCAGCUUCUGGAGAAUCCACCCAGGGAUAAUGACUCUUUCCCUGCCAAUUCUACAGGGCCUUCAUCUCAUUCAUUUGGUUAUCCUCUUCCUAGGCCAGAAGCAUAUCCGCCACCAUACCAUUCUUUUAAUGCUCGUGGAACAACUUAUGGUGCUGGACCUCGGGACUUUCAUGAAAGUGGUAUCCCUGGUCGAAUGAAGCCUACUUCAGAUAUAAUAAACUUUCGCUUGCUAUGUCUUGAUGAGAAGGUAGGAGGCGUCAUUGGAAAAGGAGGAACUAUAAUAAAAACCCUUCAGCAAGAAACAGGCUGUGAUAUCAAAGUUUUGGAAGGGGUUUCUGAUUCAGAGGAUCGCAUUAUUCUCAUUUCUGGUCCAGUGCACCCAGAUGAUAGAAUAUCAGCUCCACAAGAUGCAGUUCUUCGUGUACAAACCAGGAUUGCUAGGGCAUUACCUUUACCUGAUGGUAAAGAGAAGACUGUGAUUGCUAGGCUUCUUGUCUCCUCAAAUCAAAUUGGUUGUCUCCUUGGUAAGGGUGGUGCCAUCAUGGCAGAAAUGAGGAAGUCAACUGGAGCCUAUAUUCGUAUACUGGGGAAGGAUCAAGUUCCAAAAUGUGCUUCAGAAAAUGAAGAAGUGGUUCAGAUAAAUGGAGAGUAUGAAGUAGUUCAAGAAGCACUUCUGCAGAUAACCGCUAGGUUGCGCAAUCAUUUCUUUCGUGAUGUAUUUCCUUCUAUGGACCAUCCCUCCAAUCCUGCCUUUCUGGAUCAAGCACCUCCAUUUCCUCCAUACAUGGGAAGAAGGGAACUCUCGCCUCCAUUCCAUGCGUUUCACAAUUUUGAUGGCAUGGGUGGUCCACCCCCACAUGGUGGUUUCCAUCCCCUUGAUGAUCGUCCUCCUUUCAUGCAUAAUAUUCAUGGACCAGGCAUGCCCCCACAUAUAUCUGAAAGAAAACCUUGGGGUUCACAGGUAUGGUACCAUCUCCUUUGCUUUCCAGAUUCAAUAUGGCCUUUCCUCGUGUUUUAAGGUUGCUGCCUAUAGAACAAGGCAUGUGCUCGCUAUCAUAUGGAUUACCCCAUUCAUCUUUGGCAUUUAAAAUUAAAUUCUUAAAAUUCUUUAUAGAAGCAAAAUUUACUGUUGAAAAUAUUUUUAAAAAGUAAAUUGCACAACAAUUUUGUGCAAGCUCUGACUUCACUCUCUCUUUCCUGAGCUGGCUUGAAGGGACUCAUUGAAGGUGGUCCACCAGUGGGCAUGCCAGACUUUGGAGGACCUCCCCAAAGAAGAUUUUCUGGUUUUGGAGGGGUUAAUCAUCCAGCUGUUAUCACAAGCACUACUGUUGAAGUUUCUGUUCCUCAUUCUAUGGUCCCCGUAAUAUAUGGAGAAGAUGGUUCAUGUUUGAAACAAAUUCACCAGGUUUAUUCUUUGUUGUGUGCUCAAUUUACAGAUUAUAAAAACAAGUGUACAAUUAAAUUGUCACCUUGUACUGUUUAAUCAGUGUGUGCAUAUAUUGGGUGUACAUUGCACACAAUUACAUACACGAGUGAUAGAGAGACAGUGUGAGAGAGGCAUUUUCUAAUGAGUGAAUCAUGAGAUAGAUUUUGUAUGUUUUCCAAGUCUCAGUUGGAGCCAUAAAUUACCUGCCUAAUCAACUUGAAAGAAUUACAUGCUAGGGAUAGUAAUGUUUCUUCAAAAUAACUAAAGAUGACAAUUUAUUGUAGAAUUAAAGGUGUCAGGGUAUCGGAUUUGAAUUGAUUCUUACUUACUAUGGCAUGGAUACUAGGUUUGGCUUUAAAUGUUCUAUCAAAAGACAACAACCUUCUCAUGGCCUUAAUUAUAAUUUCUUACAAAAUUAAGUGAGCUUGCAGUAAUGCCUUCAUAUCAUAUGUUUAAUACAUCAAUAUAAUUUUUGUUAAUGUGGUGUUAGUGGUUUAUUUUAGUUAGCGAUUAUCUUGACCAAAAAGUUGUAUUUGAUAUAAUCUGAAUUAGUAUUUUCUGUCUUUAUCAAAAGUUUCUAAAUGUUCUUUGUAAAAUCCAUUACGACCAAUUCUGCUUCAGAUUUCGGAUGCCAAAAUUACAAUUACUGAGCCAAAGCCUGGAGCAACAGAAACUUUGAUUAUAAUAUCUGGGACACCUGAACAGACGCAUGCAGCUCAGAGUCUUAUUCAAGCUUUUGUGAUGAAUGAAAGGGAGUCCACUUAAUCUAUCUUUACAUUUAGGUAAUAUUUGUGAACACCUCCCAUUCCCCCACCCUGGGCAGGCAAUUAAGAUAGAGCAUAUUCACCUGCUCCCUCUUAUUGUAUAGAUAAGAUAUUUUAUGAUUGUUAGUUCUUGUUAUUUUAUGUUCUAUCUAUUUUACAGUUCAUGAUUGGAAGAAAAUAAUUGAGUAAUUGUUGAUACUUCUCUGCUGAAGAUUGGAGAUUGCUAUAAAUCUAAUUUGGCAGUUUUUGUAAGUACAGUGAAACCUGUCUUAACUUGGUGGUGAAAAGAUGACAUUGAGGGACGGCAUAAGUGUUCAUUCUCUUAGGAAGAAAGACAAGUGAUCAAAAUGUACCUUUGACGACCAUGAGUUAUCAAACAAUACUUAAAUUUUGAUAUUGUUUGGGGAAUGAAUUAUUAGUAGACUGCAAUGAAAUUUAAUGAUUUAAUGAUGGCUCAUCCUGUUUAUGUGCAUAUUUGUGCUUACCAGAACAUUUUCACUAUGUUAGAUCAACUCAAUAUAACUUUUUCUUACAUGUCCAAUGAAGUUACCUCGUUAAUCUUCAUAUUUUUGUAGCUGUCUCAUCCUUGCAUUUAGAAUUCUCAAAACAUGUAACUUGAGUCCAUAUUUUUCUGAGGACAAUGCCCUUUUUCUUUUAUUGGCUGGUAGUCUAUCACAUGCCUGCAUGCAUGCGUUAUCCUUUCCAUUGUUACACCAUCCGCAAUACUGAGUAGCAAUGUUUGUUAUGAAAAGGGGGAAAAAAUAAAAGGAAAACAAAAUAGCAAUGGUGAAUCAAAUGGAUUAUUUGAUAACGCCUAUCAGAGAUUUAUUUCAUAAAUAAAUGACCAAUUCAUGGUAGGUUAAGAUUUGCAUGCAAAUUGGGGGUUUUGCUGGUACUUGGUUGUAUUAAUGGCUACCAAUUAUUAUUCUUACUUUUAUAUCUUUUGGUCUGGUGAUAAGGUUCUUGGAAAUAUGAAGAAAGCAGGCUUUACUAGUUGUAAUAGAUUGAAAAUGGAGUAUAGGUAAUGAAAAUACAGACAUGACCUAUCUGCUACUGAAUAGUUUUAGCUUGUUGCUGAGUAAAGGUAAUGGAUUAUUGCUCAGAUUGGAAGGGCUUGUAGGCCUUGAGAGAGAUCACUAGACCUUCAAUUGAUCCAGCUGCAGCAGCGAGUGAUACUACCAAGCAGGCAAAAGUGAAUAUUUUCAGCCAUGACCAUGUGAAAGAGAAUUUUGGAAUUCUUGAACGUGCAAUGUACAUCUCAACUGGAAAAUAUACCGUCAAUGGCCAGAAAGAGGCUGCUCCGAUGAGACCCAAGAAAUCGUUGAAGAAUGGGAAGAUCAUAGCUAACACUGCUGUCACUAUAACAUAUAGGGUUCUCCACACCAAUCUGAACAAGUUGAGGUAAUACACACCAUAAAAUGGAAUAUUAAUGGCGUGUUCUCUUGUUAUGAACUUGUUCUCUGGCCACCUUUGAUGGCAGUUCCUCUCCCCAAAACUGAAGAUUGGCUGGCAGAAAACCUGGUAGGCACCGAUGAGGUGAACGGCAAUGCACACAUUGGCAAAGUCGAUCAGCCAAAAAGGUUCAUAGAAUCCGAAGCCUGUGAGGAAAUUGCCAGGAGCAUCAUUUCCAAAUGCUGCAUAACCAACGCAACCGCAUAGGACAUAGAACAGGGUGGUUGUCAGGAUGCCAACAAAGGAUGCCUUCUUCAUGGCUUUGUUCUCAGGAGGACUUGAUUUGAUGGUAUCCUGCAAUCAACUCACUUUCAUCACUUCAUGUGUGAGCAUUAUUAAUUGAAUUUGCUUGUUAUCCUCUAACCUUGACCUAACUCUCAACUUUAUCAUCUCUUACACUAACAUGUAGAAUUAUCCUAUUUUUUGGACCCCAAAUGUGACAGCAGAAGAAAAAGAAACUCAUUAGAAAGUUCAAAAAAUAAAGCAACCCCAGAUGAGACAAAUUUAUAGCGGAGAAUAUGAUGAUUAGUUCCACAGGGAGUGAUGCAAGAUUGAGAAAGGUAGAAAAGCUACAAAGUGGGCUCUUACCUCUUUCUCAAAAGGCAAUAUCAUUCACUGGGCCAAAUUUUGGAUUGUGGUCCAUGCUCCAUUUUUAAUUUGGUCCAUAAAGAAUCUAUAGAAGACUAGAACCCAUUAACUACACUGCAAGUAAACCAAUCCUAGGGAGAAAGUCUCCUUCAGAUCAUUCGUCCCAAUCUUUCCUUAAUUUGAAAAAUUUGGAGUGUAUUGCUGCAAUGGUCCUUAUCAGAACAGAGUAGCCACGCUAGUAACAAGAAAUGACAUUGGUUUAGAAAUCCAUAGGGCUGAAGAUCAAUCAGGAUUUGAUCUGGUCUGGCUUGCUAGUGGUAGGGUAGGGACCCAUCAUAAAGGCCCUUCUGGCCUUCUCUAUGUCCAUAAGCUCUGUAAGGGCUAAUAUGCAAGGGAACCUAAGUUAAGUGUACUCAAUUCAAAUACUUCUACUCUGAUAUCUGUAGUUGUGGGGUUCGUAAUUUUAUAAAUAUGAGUUGCUAGCCUCACCAAGAUAAUGCAAUUCAUCCCAUCAUAUGUUCGAAUGAUAAAGUCUAUACACAAUUAUAAUGGACAAAUAUUAAAAGAACUGCGAUAUCUGGGUCUAAGAUUUUUCUCGUUUUGACCAAAUCUAAUAAACCAAGCUAGUAUCAUGAAUUAAAUUUAAAAAUUUAUAUUGUAUUAUAAAAAACAUAAAUGAUAUUUCCUGCAAAAAAUCAUUAGUUUGGUCUAUAUCCAAAAAUAUAAACAUGGUUAUAGUCUAAUUAAACAGGAAUUUUCCUCUUUCACGGGACUGUUUCUUAAUUAAAACACCUAAAAUACUUGAAUUUUAUGUUCCUUUAUAAGAAAGCAGCACGCACUAAAGCCCAAGCCAACAUCCGGCAGACAAAAUAUUUAAAAUCUAGAGCAUAGCAGCAAGAGUUGGCACGCAUUUCAAUUUUCAAGUAUAUAUCAUGCUUGGUCAAGUCUACACGCGCCUGGCUUGUCCAUUGGCUGAAGGUAUAGCUCUCGAUUUGGCAGAGCCAGUUACCCCAAUCCCCCAUAUGCAGGCAGCAUGGCAUGUUAAACAGAGAGAUGUAAAUUAUGUACAGGGUAUUGAUUGGCUUGCCUGUAUCUCGAUGAGAACAGUAGAGAAAGCAAAAGCAAAAGCAAUGUCCCCGAUUGCUUGGAAUGCCUUCCACACCUUCUGUGCUGCUGUGACGUCCACCCCAACUGUAGUUCCUGUUAAGCUUGUCCUUGAAUGUCCCCCACCUAUUCCACAUUCGUGAAUCACAUAUUUUACAUUAGUUCAAAUUAGGGAAAUUUGAGCAAUAAUCAUUCAAAUUGAAUUUGAUAAUAGGAAAUUCUUAUUUAAACCUGAUUCAUUAUAAAUCUAAGAUAUAAAUAUGUAAAAUUCAUAUUAUUAAAUUCAUGAUAAAAGAGGUUUGGACAAGAAAAAUCAUUGAUAAUAUUAGAGUUAUUUUCAUAAUUAUACAUGCAUUAAUCAAUAAUAAUGUUGUUUAGGUAUUCAAAAAGCUCAUACACAUAUUCAAAUCGAUGUGAGAUCUCAAAAAACCAUUCCAUUAGUCGGUCAGUGAUGUUUAAUGGGUCUGUUUGACAGUUAUGUAGUAACAACUGCUGCUUACAAACUGAUGAUGCAUGCAUAAUGAAUACACUAGACAACAACUAUCUUUAAUGGGUUUGUUUCAUGAGUACGUAAUGAUUAAGUUCAAAACACACAGUUCUCUUUUUAAUAAUUUAAUUUAAUUACCUGCUACUUUUGCUAUGGAUAGUCCGAGACCUAUUGAAGAAUAGGCGAAAGACAUCACAGCUGCAAGAACUGAGAGCCAUGAGAGCUUGUGAAAGUUUGGUAUUUGGCUCAGGAUGAUUUGGAUGCAAGCAAAGAUAGUCAUGUAGGUGUAGUUUGAUAUAUGGCACUUGUCUUGAUGUCCAUGCUUGUGGAAACAGUUUGACCUCUUUACAGCCACCAUGCUAAUGGAUGCUGUAAUAGUGUAGCCAAUUGUGACUCCUACCAGGUUCGCAUACUGAGCCAACCCACAAAGGAAAACUCUCCGGCCUCCUGGUAUGCAAAGUUAAACAAUUUGGCUAAUGAAUUAUCAGCUAUUUUAUAAGGGAUUCAUCUGAAUUGUAUAGCACUCACCUAAGUUGGCUCUCACAGCAUCCAUGUAGGUGUAGUUUCUUUUGCCAGUGACUGGAUCAGGCGACCUGUAGGAAUCGGCAAGAAGAGUGGAAGUGAAAAGGGUUAUGAAAGAGAACGCCAUGAGAAUAACCGGCCCAGCCACCCAUCCCAACUGGGCUAUGGCCCAUGCUAGAGACAGCACUCCUGACCCAAUCACAGCGGUGAUGAUAUGAGCACUCGCAGUUAACCAUGUCCCAGUUCUUUUAGCUCGACCGUCAUCAUCCUGGUUCUUGUGAGUUCCACCGUUUUCAUAUCCUUCUAGGUCUGCCUGUUCCAAGUACAUGCUGCUAUGUUUCAUCUCUUUAGCCAUCUCUGUCUGUCUCUCUCUCUCUUUCUCUCUGGGUUAUGUACGUGUGUGUUUAUCGCAAGUUGGGACGGUUGAACUACGAGGGACAAGACGCUGAAAUAGAGAGGUGUAAUUAAUGGCUAGUUAAAUCAAAAUAAUUAAUGGAAGUGGCGACUACCAAAGUAGUCAACCAGCAGUGUUUCUGCCGUGAAUGUAUCAAGCAAAAAAAGGGCUGUUAGUUAAGUAUAUUAAAUGAACUUUCUGAGCUACAAGCUGAAGUGUUUAUAGAGGAACCUAUAGAAGGGAUGGUUGGCUUUGUAGGAAUAAUGACACAAGGGUUCUCUGCACCAUUGAUGGUGGUGGUGGAAGGGGGUGAGGAGAUGAUGAGAGGGUGUGGUCUUUACUUAAACCCUGCAAGGGUCCCCACUACGUCUUUGUGUAUUUGGGUUAUCGACCAUCCAAAUUAAUAACAAUUAAUCUUUUAUAUCGUAACCAUUCAUUGUGAAAUUUUUGACAAGAAAUCUCUUCUAGUUUGCCCCAACAACACCGGUCUUUCUCCCUAAUUUUGCUUAGUCGGUUCCUUUUUUUCAUAUGAGACUAAUAUAAACCAGAAAGAUCGACCAAGUGUCGCUUGGAGACUCGUAAAACUACUUUCAAAACCUUGGCAUGGGCAAUAAUUUCACUGACCUCAUCAACUCUUUUUUUUUUUUUUUUUUUU